ACGUCUACAUUAGAUACCCGCGUAGUCCCAGCGUAAACUAUGCGCGUUAGGUGUAUCGGUGACCACGAGUUACCGAGGUGCCGAAGGGAAACCGUGAAACGUGCCGCCUGGGAAGUACGGUCGCAAGGCUGAACUUAAGGAAUUGCGGGGAGCACCACAACAGGUGGAGCCUGCGGUUUAAUUGGACUCAACGCCGGAAAUCGCACCGGAUAAGACAGCAGAAUGAUUGCCGGGCUGAAGACUCUGCAUGACUAGCUG
Molecule: ribosomal RNA, 258 nt
Filed under: uncultured archaeon
Lineage: Archaea
Description: partial 16S ribosomal RNA
Rfam family: Archaeal small subunit ribosomal RNA
Source: RNAcentral